This 333-nucleotide ribosomal RNA is filed under the name uncultured bacterium. RNAcentral describes it as "bacterial SSU rRNA". It matches the Rfam family "Bacterial small subunit ribosomal RNA", at positions 568 to 898 of the family's 1533-position model. The record is from RNAcentral.
CGCGUAGGCGGUGCUUUAAGUGAGAUGUGCAAUCCCCGGGCUUAACCUGGGAACUGCAUCUCAGACUGGAGCGCUAGAGGUACUGGAGAGGGUGGUAGAAUUCCACGUGUAGCGGUGAAAUGCGUAGAGAUGUGGAGGAAUACCAGUGGCGAAGGCGGCCACCUGGACAGUAACUGACGCUGAGGCGCGAAAGUGUGGGUAGCAAACAGGGUUAGAUACCCUGGUAGUCCACGCUGUAAACGAUGAACACUUGGUGUGGCGGGAGUUGACCCCUGCCGUGCCGUAGCUAACGCGCUAAGUGUUCCGCCUGGGGAGUACGGUCGCAAGGCUGAA